RNAcentral lists this long non-coding RNA (1881 nucleotides) under Citrus sinensis (sweet orange). RNAcentral describes it as "long non-coding RNA (CSIN_LNC004356)". The record is from RNAcentral. Lineage: Eukaryota; Viridiplantae; Streptophyta; Magnoliopsida; Sapindales; Rutaceae.
AAACAACAAUCAGUGCAUGCAUCAAUGAAAGAAAACCGUGGCCACUGCCAAUACGAGUUCAACCAAAGGAUUCAUCUUAAUUGCAGAUUCAUCUUCGUCUUCUCCUCGAUUGGAUGUUAUUGCUAGAUUUUCCUCUGUUCUGGUGCAACUCUUAUUAAUUGUUGGACCACAACGACCCAGAUUAUAACUCUUUUCAUCAAACCUGCCAAAUUGUUUUUUGUCUGGGAUCAGACCAGACAAGUUCUUGUAUGACUCGUUAAAGUUGGAUAAAUAGUUGAUGAGUGAUCUGAAGAUCACCGAUCAGAAAAUUUUUCAUUUAUGUUUGUGUAAAUUAUUCAUAGUAUGGUCUACUAUGAAAUUACAAAAAUAAGCAUAGUAAAUUUGAAUAAAGGAAAGGAAAAUGAGAAGGAAAACAGAGGAAGGCUAAGGACAAAUAAGCUGAUUCAUCAGUAACUCAAGAUCACAACUUUUGGAUGUUUUUAGCCUCCGAAAUUUCAACAAAUAUUCAAGUGAUGUGAGGUUGGUCAAGGUAGAAGGAAAGUUUCCACUUAAUUGAAACUUUGAGCUUAGAUCCAACUCAAAAGGAUUCUUCAAAUUACAUAGUCCUGAACUUGAAAAUAAAAGAUCAAAAUUUUAUAGAAUGAAAACUAAUUAUAGCGAAUUCGAUCAAAAUCCAGUACAAGACUUAGAGAACAGACAAAAAUCAAAUUGCCUAAUUAUUUUGGUCAGCACAAAUAAUAAUAGAGUAAUGUGAACUUAUUUCUCAUAUAAUAUGAUGUUGAUUGCAAAAACGUUUCAAUAAUCUGGAAAAAGGGAAAAAAAAUAAAAUGCCCUCAGCACUUUUUGCUCAUCAUAGCCCGAAGUCCUUCUUGUUUAACAUUAUGAUUUUCUGAGGAAGAAUUUGUUCACUUGAUGUUGUUCAUUGGACAAUGGUUCUGUAACCUCUAAACCUAUUGGAUAAUGUAAAGAGAAAUUCAUAAUAUUUUAGUUGUCUUCUUAAAUAAUAAAUUGUCUCAAAAUACAAUUAAUUUGUCUUAAAUUUAAUUUAUUCCUCAGCAUUCAAAGAAAAACAAAAACAAAAAAAGAAAAAGAAAAACGACCUGGUCUUUAUAUGUAAUUUUGUCCAAGUACUUUGAUCAACAAAUCAUUAGGAAGGUGGUGUAUCAGUGAUGCAAAUAUUUAAUUAUCAUGUUUCAACAUAACAAUUCUGUGUAAAUUGUUCACUUUAUGUUUCUAGAGAACUGUUUAUAUUAUUAUUACUACUCAAAUUCAAUGCUUCCAAGUAUUUGAAUUUAAUUAGCUAAUCCUGUAUCAAGAAUUAAUUAAUGAACAUAAGAUAAAUGUCAUAUUAGUUAGAUUUAGAUUUUUUUUUUCCAGUUUUGAUGUAUAGAUAAAAAUAAUACUUCAAAAGCAUUGAAAUGUAAGAGCUAUUAAAAAAAUGCUUUUCAUUCAAAGCUAUAAGUAAUGAAAUGAAGAUAGAUAUCAUUGUUGAUUUAAAAAAAAUCAGAAAAAAAAAAAGAAAAGAGUGAAAGAAAAGAGCAGGUUAUGUUAGAAAAUAGUGAUAGAGUAUGUUAAGGACUAAAAUUUAUUAAAGAAAGCAGUGGUUCCAUUUGAAAUUUGAUCAAGUUAGAAUUAGUCAAUUAUGCAUCGAGAAUCAAAAGAAUGAAGAAAGGGAAUUCAAAUUAGACUUACAAAAUUAUAAUAAAGUGAUUAGUUAAGAUCCAAUUAAGCAGAUUUACUAAAAAAAAUAUUGAAAAAUAAAGGGCCAUAACAUUGCCAAAAGGACUAGGAAACUAAGUAGGAAGGGCUGAUUGUUGCGGAAUACCUUGAAGUGUAGGUUAUUCCACAACCACGAAGACCAAUUGCUUUCAAGUUUGUCAA